GGGUUGUGAGGUUAAGCGACUAAGCGUACACGGUGGAUGCCUAGGCAGUCAGAGGCGAUGAAGGACGUGCUAAUCUGCGAAAAGCGCCGGUGAGCUGAUAUGAAGCAUUAUUAGCCGGCGAUGUCCGAAUGGGGAAACCCAGUGCAAUCCGUUGCACUAUCAUUAACUGAAUUCAUAGGUUAAUGAGGCGAACCGGGGGAACUGAAACAUCUCAGUACCCCGAGGAAAAGAAAUCAACCGAGAUUCCCCCAGUAGCGGCGAGCGAACGGGGAGGAGCCCAGAACCAGCAUCAGUGUCAGCGUCAGGAGAACGGUCUGGAAAGGCCGGCAGUAAAGGGUGAUAGCCCCGUAUCUGAAGACGCUGGCAGUGUGAGUUCGACGAGUAGGGCGGGACACGUGGUAUCCUGUCUGAACAUGGGGGGACCAUCCUCCAAGGCUAAAUACUCCUGACUGACCGAUAGUGAACCAGUACCGUGAGGGAAAGGCGAAAAGAACCCCGGCGAGGGGAGUGAAAGAGAACCUGAAACCGUGUACGUACAAGCAGUGGGAGCCCUGAUUUAUCAGGGUGACUGCGUACCUUUUGUAUAAUGGGUCAGCGACUUAUAUUCUGUAGCAAGGUUAACCGUAUAGGGGAGCCGCAGGGAAACCGAGUCUUAACUGGGCGUUAAGUUGCAGGGUAUAGACCCGAAACCCGGUGAUCUAGCCAUGGGCAGGUUGAAGGUUGGGUAACACUAACUGGAGGACCGAACCGACUAAUGUUGAAAAAUUAGCGGAUGACUUGUGGCUGGGGGUGAAAGGCCAAUCAAACCGGGAGAUAGCUGGUUCUCCCCGAAAGCUAUUUAGGUAGCGCCUCGUGUAUUCAUCUUCGGGGGUAGAGCACUGUUUCGGCUAGGGGGUCAUCCCGACUUACCAACCCGAUGCAAACUGCGAAUACCGAAGAAUGUUAUCACGGGAGACACACGGCGGGUGCUAACGUCCGUCGUGAAGAGGGAAACAACCCAGACCGCCAGCUAAGGUCCCCAAGUCAUGGUUAAGUGGGAAACGAAGUGGGAAGGCUCAGACAGCCAGGAUGUUGGCUUAGAAGCAGCCAUCAUUUAAAGAAAGCGUAAUAGCUCACUGGUCGAGUCGGCCUGCGCGGAAGAUGUAACGGGGCUAAACCAUGCACCGAAGCUGCGGCAGCGACAUUUCGAUGUUGUUGGGUAGGGGAGCGUUCUGUAAGCCUGCGAAGGUGUGCUGUGAGGCAUGCUGGAGGUAUCAGAAGUGCGAAUGCUGACAUAAGUAACGAUAAAGCGGGUGAAAAACCCGCUCGCCGGAAGACCAAGGGUUCCUGUCCAACGUUAAUCGGGGCAGGGUGAGUCGACCCCUAAGGCGAGGCCGAAAGGCGUAGUCGAUGGGCAACAGGUUAAUAUUCCUGUACUCGGUGUUACUGCGAAGGGGGGACGGAGAAGGCUAGGCUAGCCGGGCGACGGUCGUCCCGGUUCAAGCGUGUAGGUGGGUGCUCCUGGCAAAUCCGGAGUGCCGUAACACUGAGGCGUGAUGACGAGGCACUACGGUGCUGAAGUGGUUGAUGCCCUGCUUCCAGGAAAAGCCUCUAAGCCUCAGGUAACAUUGAAUCGUACCCCAAACCGACACAGGUGGUCAGGUAGAGAAUACUCAGGCGCUUGAGAGAACUCGGGUGAAGGAACUAGGCAAAAUGGUGCCGUAACUUCGGGAGAAGGCACGCUGGCAGUAGGUGAAGGGCCCUGCGCCCGGAGCUGAAGCCAGUCGCAGAUACCAGCUGGCUGCAACUGUUUAAUAAAAACACAGCACUGUGCAAACACGAAAGUGGACGUAUACGGUGUGACGCCUGCCCGGUGCUGGAAGGUUAAUUGAUGGGGUCAGCCGCAAGGCGAAGCUCUUGAUCGAAGCCCCAGUAAACGGCGGCCGUAACUAUAACGGUCCUAAGGUAGCGAAAUUCCUUGUCGGGUAAGUUCCGACCUGCACGAAUGGCGUAAUGAUGGCCAGGCUGUCUCCACCCGAGACUCAGUGAAAUUGAACUCGCUGUGAAGAUGCAGUGUACCCGCGGCAAGACGGAAAGACCCCGUGAACCUUUACUAUAGCUUGACACUGAACCUUGAGCCUUGAUGUGUAGGAUAGGUGGGAGGCUGUGAAGUGCGGACGCCAGUCUGCACGGAGCCGACCUUGAAAUACCACCCUUUAAUGUUUGAUGUUCUAACGUAGACCCGUAAUCCGGGUUGCGGACAGUGUCUGGUGGGUAGUUUGACUGGGGCGGUCUCCUCCCAAAGCGUAACGGAGGAGCACGAAGGUUAGCUAAUCACGGUCGGACAUCGUGAGGUUAGUGCAAAGGCAUAAGCUAGCUUGACUGCGAGAGUGACAGCUCGAGCAGGUACGAAAGUAGGUCUUAGUGAUCCGGUGGUUCUGAAUGGAAGGGCCAUCGCUCAACGGAUAAAAGGUACUCCGGGGAUAACAGGCUGAUACCGCCCAAGAGUUCAUAUCGACGGCGGUGUUUGGCACCUCGAUGUCGGCUCAUCACAUCCUGGGGCUGAAGUAGGUCCCAAGGGUACGGCUGUUCGCCGUUUAAAGUGGUACGCGAGCUGGGUUUAGAACGUCGUGAGACAGUUCGGUCCCUAUCUGCCGUGGGCGUUGGAAGAUUGAAAGGGGCUGCUCCUAGUACGAGAGGACCGGAGUGGACGCACCGCUGGUGUUCGGGUUGUCAUGCCAAUGGCACUGCCCGGUAGCUAAGUGCGGAAGAGAUAACCGCUGAAAGCAUCUAAGCGGGAAACUUGCCUUGAGAUGAGUCUUCCCUUGUCCCUUGAGGACACUGAAGGAACGUUCGAGACGAGGACGUAGAUAGGCCGGGUGUGUAAGCGUAGCGAUACGUUGAGCUAACCGGUACUAAUGACCCGUGAGGCUUAACCUGACAACACCGAAGGUGUUU
Molecule: ribosomal RNA, 2937 nt
Filed under: Xenorhabdus lircayensis
Lineage: Bacteria; Pseudomonadati; Pseudomonadota; Gammaproteobacteria; Enterobacterales; Morganellaceae
Description: Xenorhabdus sp. VLS 23S ribosomal RNA
Rfam family: Bacterial large subunit ribosomal RNA
Source: RNAcentral